Molecule: RNA transcript, 10398 nt
Organism: Cygnus atratus (black swan)
Lineage: Eukaryota; Metazoa; Chordata; Aves; Anseriformes; Anatidae
Gene: ABLIM1
Gene name: actin binding LIM protein 1
Exons: 22
Source: RefSeq, a predicted model, not a curated record
AUCCCAGGCGAUCCGACUCGAUCCAAUCCGAUCCAAGGCGAGCCGAGCCCAGCCGCACAGGCGCACGCAGCGCGGAGAGCGCCGCGGCCCCGCCCGGCUCGGCACGGCCCGGCCCGGCCCGGCCCGGCCAUGUCCGCCCGAGUGGCCCAUCCUCAAGAGCCUCACCACCCAUCAGAAAAGCCAGUCAUCCACUGCCAUAAAUGUGGAGAGCCAUGUAAAGGUGAAGUACUCCGUGUUCAGGCCAGACACUUUCACAUCAAAUGCUUCACCUGCAAAGUGUGUGGCUGUGACCUGGCACAAGGAGGCUUUUUCAUUAAGAAUGGGGAAUACCUUUGUACUUUGGAUUACCAGCGCAUGUAUGGUACCCGCUGUAACGGCUGUGGGGAGUUCGUUGAAGGAGAAGUGGUGACAGCUCUGGGAAAAACCUACCAUCCAACCUGCUUUGCCUGUACUGUUUGCAAGCGCCCAUUUCCACCAGGUGAUCGAGUUACCUUUAAUGGAAGGGAUUGUCUCUGUCAGUUGUGUGCUCAGCCAAUGUCCUCAAGCCCCAAAGAAUUGUCUGCCUCCAGCAAUUGUGCUGGCUGCGGAAGAGACAUAAAGAAUGGACAAGCAUUGCUAGCUCUGGAUAAGCAGUGGCACCUGGGAUGCUUUAAGUGUAAGGCCUGUGGCAAGGUCCUAACUGGGGAAUACAUCAGCAAAGAUGGUGCUCCUUAUUGUGAAAAGGACUAUCAGGUUCUUUUUGGAGUCAAGUGUGAAGCAUGUCACCAGUUCAUUACUGGGAAAGUCCUAGAGGCAGGUGACAAGCAUUAUCAUCCAAGCUGUGCACGAUGCAGCAGGUGCAACCAAAUGUUCACAGAAGGAGAAGAAAUGUAUCUGCAAGGUUCCACUGUCUGGCAUCCCGACUGUAAGCAAUCCACUAAGACCGAAGAGAAGCUAAGGCCUACGAGAACAUCAUCAGAAAGUAUUUAUUCCAGACCAGGUUCCAGUAUACCUGGCUCACCAGGCCACACUAUCUAUGCAAAAGUAGACAAUGAGAUCCUUGAUUACAAGGAUUUAGCAGCCAUUCCCAAAGUCAAGGCCAUUUAUGACAUUGAACGUCCAGACCUAAUUACUUAUGAGCCAUUCUACACUUCCGCCUACGAGGACAGACAGGAGAGACAGAGUCUUGGAGAGUCUCCAAGGACAUUAUCACCUACCCCUUCUGCAGAAGGUUAUCAAGAUGUUCGGGAUCGUAUGAUUCACAGGUCUACGAGUCAGGGCUCCAUUAAUUCUCCAGUGUACAGUCGUCACAGCUACACACCCACCAUGUCACGUUCCCCUCAGCAUUUCCACAGACCUGGCAAUGAGCCGUCCAGCGGUCGGAACUCCCCUGUCCCCUAUCGGCCAGACAGCCGCCCUCUCACUCCAACUUACGCUCAGGCCCCUAAACAUUUCCAUGUUCCAGAUCAAGGUGUCAACAUUUACAGAAAACCUCCAAUCUACAAACAACAUGAUGCAGCUGCUUUGGCAGCACAGAGCAAGUCCUCCGAGGAUAUCAUCAAGUCCUCCAAGUUCCCAGCAGCUCACGCACCAGCACCCAACGAGAUACCAAAGAUUGAGACGGACCACUGGCCAGGUCCUCCCUCCCUUGCAGCUAUAGCAGGAGCUGACAUGAGACGCAGGUCAAGUGGAAGAGAAGAAGACGACGAGGAGCUACAGAGACGCCGGCAACUGCAGGAGGAGCAGCUCAUGAAGCUUAAUUCUGGUCUUGGACAAUUGAUACUGAAAGAAGAGAUGGAAAAGGAGAGGUCAUCCCUUUCUGCCAGUCGUUACGAUUCUCCAGCCCAUGCUUCAGCCUCCAAAACCUCUUCUCUUCCUGGCUAUGGAAAAAAUGGACUUCACAGGCCGGUGUCUACAGAUUUUGGUCAGUACAACAGUUAUGGGGAUGUGAGUGGUGGUGUUAGAGAUUUCCAGGUAGAGUAUGGAUUUUCAUCAAUCAACUGACAACGGAAUUAAAAGCAUCUACUUUCUUGUUGAAGUCUGAAUUUCUGCUACAGGAAAGGAGUUCUUAAGACAUUAGCUUUGAUUUACCUGCAUGUUUAAGCAUAAUCACCAAUGUAGACUCUUAUCAAUAAAAAACAGGCACAACCUCAGGUUCCUCCUUGUACCUCCCCAGAACUGGGUUAAGAAGGCUCAGACCAGUUCUGUGACUUGUUCUGCUAAACCCAUUGUCUGUUGAAAUACAAGUUAUCUGCAGUAGCUCUCUUUGGAUGGCUAAGGGCAAAUUUAUUUCCAGCCUCUCUAAUACCAGCCCCAGAGACAGGUAGAAAUUCUCUUCUGGAGGCAAUUUUCUUCCAUACCAGGAGCCUUGAAAUCCUUAUUUUUGCCCUGAAAUUUGCUCUCCAGACAAGAUGGCUGAUCAAUAGCUUUCUACAGUGCUGCUCUCACAGAUGAGCUAGUAAGAUAUGUACUUGCAAGAAUCAGCCCUUUUACCCCAAAUCCUAUCUGCAGGAUUUUUUCUAGAAUAGUUUGUCUGGCUGGCUCCUCAGCACAAUCACAAUAUGAAGUGACAAUUUAAGAAGGGGUUUAAUUGUUUGGAUAUAUUUUUUUACUACUGUAUCAAAACCACGAUGAUUGGAAAGAAAACAAGAUUAUGGGAAGAGAAGGGAGUUCUCUGUGUAUUAUGCUCAAAAUGUAAUUUUAUUAGGAACAGUACCUGUGUCAAAAUAGCACCCUUUUACCAGAACCCUAUCCCCACUUGUGUUCAUAGUCAAAAUUUCCCAUUGUAGAGGCAAAAAAAAAUCCUUGGCUGAUACAGUAAAUGACAGAAAGGACAGUCCAGAAGUGUUAGAGUGCUUAUGUAUGCUGUUGGGUGGGAUCUAAAUUAAUGCUCCUGUGUAUUUGUUCCAAAGAACCUUAACUGAUCAUUGGGGCUGGGAAGGGCUUACCACUCUUUCAGAGACCCCUGGGCUGUGGUGUAUUUAGUCUCAGUGGGCAGCUAUCACCAGCCUUAGUGACAGAAAAUGUGGUGGCAGAGGGGGUGGAAGGAUGCCUCAGAAGAGUGAGAAAAGAGCAAUGUCCUGUAUGGUAAGAGUCAGCAUUAAGACUUGAAGGAAGUCUCAGUGCAAAUUCACCUUUGUUUUCACCACUGCUUGAGUGCCUUUACCCUCUGUGUGUGUAACCUACGUGUCUGAUAUAUACCUGUAUCUGAUGCAGUCCCUUCCGGAUGGUCAUGUCCCUGGAAUGAGAAUGGACAGAGGAGUAUCUAUGCCUAACAUGUUGGAGCCAAAGAUUUUUCCAUAUGAAAUGCUCAUGGUGACCAACAGAGGGCGAAAUAAAAUACUAAAAGAUGUAGACAGAACCAGGCUGGAGCGUCACUUAGCACCUGAAGUUUUUCAAGAAAUAUUUGGCAUGACGAUACAGGAGUUUGACAAGUUACCUCUCUGGAGACGCAACGACAUGAAGAAAAAAGCAAAACUCUUUUAAUCUCCUUUUAAAGAAACCAACUUAAAAAUGGUACAUAGGAUAUUGUAUCAUACAGUCCAAACUAUUUGGCAGCAACUACCUACCCACCAAAAAAAGGAAAAUCGCAUAGAGGCACCUCUGCACACAGCAGUUGAACAAGACGAACAUUUGCCCUCCUGGAACAUAGGGAAGGAAAUAUCUGAGCUCAGAAACAACAAAGAUGAUUUUCAGAGGUGUCGACCUUUUACAUGAUAUCAUACGAGAUAGGAAACUGUUCUUCUCCCUCAGUGAUACUCCCUUUACUUCUCUCCAUAACAUGAUGGACUUUAUUGCUAGAGCCAGGAAGUGCCCUUAGGAUGCCUUGUAGACUAAAGUAGUUGUAACCACUCCAAGAACUGGAAAAGAAAUAUAUAUAUAUAUAUAAAUAUAUAUAUGUGUGUGUUUGCGUGUGUGCGCACAUGUAUUUAUAUCUAUCCAUCUGUGUGUAUGUAUGUGUACAUAUGUGUAUAUAUAUGGAGAGAAAGAUAGAUACUCUGUAGUGAAGGAGAAGCCCUUUGUAACACACCCAUAUGGUCACGUUGUCUUUCACACAACUGUUUCUUAGUUGGCAGUCUUUUGAAAUGGCAUCUUUGUCUUUGACACAGUCUGCAAAGGUGGGUGCUCUGCUCGUUUGCAGUGCAUCCCAGUUGAAUUCUUGGAAAGCGGACUCCACGUACCUGUAUAUAUUUGCUAGGAUAUAUAGAAAGUGAAUUGCUGUGUCUGUUGCCAGUCUUCCCUCUUCCACACUUUCUGCUUGAAUUAAUAAGGCUGGAGCUUAACCAGUCAAAUAAUUUAAGAUCACUUAAGUAAUGGGAAUGAUGGAGAAGAGUCAGUUUUCUUGUAAUUUAGUCCAGGAGAUGGGUGGAUAUGGGUGGGAGUGAUAGAGUGAGAAAAUGCUUUUUUAAGUGUGCCCUGGUUCACACCCAGAGAUUUCGGGACAGACUCCCUGCUAGUCAUUACUAGUACAGCUCCUCAGAUUGCUGUGGAGCUGUAGGAUUUUACAUCAGCAGGGAAGACAGUUCUCUGCAAGCCAACACACAGUUUCAUCCCUCUUGGGGGAGGAAUGUUUAUGAACUAAAAGGUACCACCAAGGUGGUACCAUGCUCUGCCAAUAGAGGCUUUUUGAUUAAAUUGCAGUUGCUGUUGUCAAUAUGGCACAGUGCAUGGGGCCAAGCACUUUCUUUUUAGUUAAUGUAGUUUUUCACUUGUGCUUGGAAAAGAGGGCACAGGCUGUUUUUUUUUUUUUUCUUUUUUUCCUCUUGAAGCUUCAGAGCUCCAGCCUUGGUUAUAUUUAUUUCCCUUUGUGCCUGACUUGGUUUGUGGAGACAGAGAAAUCAUGCAAGAUGGUUUCUGAGCUGCAUUGAACUCCUCUUGCUUUCAGUCUUCUUCCACUAUGCUGCAGCUUGAAAAAAAAAACAAAACUGCCUAUAUAUACCUUAACUGCUUCUGGGCAGGUCCUUACAGAGAUGGACACGAGCACCAAAGUAAUUGAAUACAUGCAUUGUGGCUGCAAGGUCAGCUUUUUUUCUUCCUCGGUGCUUAACUGCCAAUGCAUACUGCACUAAUGAGCCUGUCUCCUGGUAUCGGAGCGGGACGUUCAGGUUCUGUGUCUGUCAAAGAAUAUCAAGGUUUCGUUUUUAAUGCAGAAACUUUUGGCACUGGAGACAUCAGAACCUUUGUAUUUUCUGUUAUGAGACAUUGGUGUUAAAAGUCUGGAAGUCAGGAAGGGGAAACAGUCCCACGUAGCUGUGAGAUUCGAUAUCACUGUGCUGAGUUCUGUGUCUCACCGUGCGGCAUUUCACCAUGAAACGUGCGGGACAGCCCAAACCCUGCCUCUUCUGUGCUGGUUUAGGAAGUCCUGUUACAGCAGAUCACCGUGGUUCCUUUGAUCCAACCCGAGCUGAAGAUUCAGUGUUUGAGAGGCAGAUGCAAAGGGUCAGCACCUGCUCCAUGCUCUAGGGCUAAGGGAAGGGUGAGCCCAAGGGACAAGCUGGAGAACGUGCUCCUGUGCAGAGCUGCCUCACAGUCCCUGCUGAACACAAGCCCUCAGAGAACACCGUGACACGCGGUUAGCUGCGAGGUAGCUCUCUGGACCUCACUGAGAUUGCAGCAAGGCUCAGUUCAACAUGUUUUACUUCAUUUUUCAGAACAAGCAUCUGAAAUGGCUUUAGAAGAACGCUGGGAAGCAAGUGGGAAUGCCAGGGGCGCUGGCAGGUUGAGAUGCAUUUCUGAGUGGCAGCUGAAACCGCAGCCAGGCAAUGAAAGGACAGCAGUGUCUCACAGUCACAAGUUUCAUGAACACUAGUCUCAGAAAUUCAGCGUAUGUUACCUGCGAAGGUGUGGCUUAACUCCGAGAUGAACAUUUGGGUUUUAAUCAUUUAACGUAUUAAAUUCUCCACAUUUUGUCAGCCCACAUUGGUGAUGCCAUGAUGCUGCUGCUCAAACGCAGUAGGCAUUACGGGUCUCUUAGCCCAAGUCACCUUGACAAUAAACCUUUUUGGUGUGAAGUCUGCUCUCAGGGAUGUGAGCUGCCAGUCUGCAUUUUUCUGUUCCCAUCUUUAAAUUACUAUUGAACUGCUCACAAGGUAUGUAAAUAUACUACCCGGUCAGUUCAGAGAUGGUUAAGCCAGGUUGUCUUGUUUUCUCUUCUCUCUUCUCCCUCCUCUCAAAAAAAAACAACCAACCAACCAAAGACAGUUCCUCAGCCUUUGAGAAAUGACAAGAUAAUUUGUGUCUGCCUCAUCAACUGAGAAUUUAAAGCUGCAAUUGCAGCUUGGGAAGGAAUGAGGAGAAGCCAGCUCAGAUGCAGCAGACGCAAUUAAUCUCUAACCGGAUUUUUGGGCUGGUGCCGGUGUGGAGCAUAGUCAGUCAGUUCACAGCUCUCUACACUGGACUUACUACUGCUUUAUUUCUGAUUGAGGACAUGAAGGAUUAAUUCCUCUUAAUAUCCCACCCAUCCAGAAUCAUGAACCACCCCAAGAUCCCAUGGCCCCAAAGAGCAGGCUGCAGCCGGCCGUGGGAUGGGUGGGUGGUUUCUGCAGUGGGCUGUUAGCAAUUGUCACUGCAAUAUUUUCUUUCAUCUGGUCUUCCCACCUCAUAAAAAUGGAAAGGCAGCUCCAGGGAGAGUUUUCUGUGUAAGCAGUGAAUCAUUUUCCUAGUAUCGAUCCAGUAGCAUAUUGUUUGUUGGGCAGCUCUGUGCUGUUGGGCAGUUCUUUGUAAUUCCCCUCUCAAUAGUCCCUUGUGGCCGAUAAAUUUGAAUAUUGUAAUGUAACAGAGUCAAAGCUUUGUAAUAAGACUCUAAAUUAUUCAGUAAAUACUUAAGCGUGUCUAAGAAUAUGCCUUAAGUACAUGCUCAAGUUCUUCUGCCUUGUGCAAAGCAUUUGAGCUUCUGAUGAAGUCCCAUCAAACUCAGUGCUGUCAACAACGUCACUGCCAAGAGGACUGAAACCUGAUUGCUUUUGUCUCAUUUUUCCCCUUUCUGCUUUAAGAAUGAAGUAAGAACAAAGACCUGUCAAAACAGGCACGUGGGGUGGAAUUGCAAAACCAUACAGGUGUGCAGAACGGGAUCAUAGACACGUGCAGGUUGUCAAAAACACAUGCACACGUAGCACACGCUUCCCUUACGGAGUUGAGAUGCUCUGUGAGUAGCUAGCCUGGAAUUUCCAAAUGCUACAUUGUGUUGAAAAGACCAGUGAUUAUGAAGGAUGUCACUUGCAUAUGUGCUCGUAUCUGCAGGGCUCCUGGGUACCUGCUUCUGAGAUCCAGCAAAUGUGCAAAACACAAGGUAACCGUCCCACUUUGUGCAAGUGCCAGGCUGGCCACGUGUGGUAUCAUUUAAAAGGCGUUUUCAGGCUUAUGUGAACAUUUGCAGUGCCCAUUCCUGGCAGUGCUCAGAUGGAAGAGAAAGACCUUGUGCAGCAGUCUUGAUAUUAACGGGGAACCCAGAGAUUUGACCUGCUGGGUUUUGUGGUUUCUACAGAUCCCGGUCUGAUAAUUUCCAUUGUGAACAAGAGGAGAGCUGUUCUGCAGUACAGUGGGAACAGCUGCCCAUAACUUGGAUGCCCUCACCUUCACUUGGCGUAAGCUCCAGCCUGCUGACAGUCAGAAGUGGAAAUUAAGUGUGUUGAAAUAAAUAUGUUUUUCAUCUUCCCUGAAGGUAGUAAAAUGAAGCCAACUUGAAAAAUAGAUUUGGAAAUUACUAAACUGUCCACUCUUUCUCAGUGAAGUGAUUGAUCUAUUGUGGCCUCAGUUUGGAAGCUGAGUGUAGCAUCUCAACUCUGCCAGUGUCCUAUCCCAAACUUGACAAACUUUCUGUACAGCUGGAAGAGUAAGUUCUUGUGAAGCUUGUUCUCAGAAUUUCAUGCUUUUUUUUUUUUUAAUUGUUUGUUACCAUUUCAUGCUGCUGUCAUUUAACACAGGUUUUAGUGGCCUGAGUCUCAGAAACAUACUCUUUUUUUUCAGUUUGAUUAGUAGCCUUUCAUUCAGUAUGGUUUGUGCACAUAGCUGCAGUGUGCUGUGAAAGGUUAGACUAGGAAAACAGUAAGUUUCUUACAGCUGCAUGUGGGACGAGAUAGCUCGGUGGCUCCGGUAAUGCUUGUACUUCUGUCUAGAUGGGGUCGUCUGGUUGUACCAAGCUGAAUGGUCCCAAGUCUCUGUGGGGCCAGCACUGCAGUGCUCACUGCCCUUCCCCUGUCGCAAUGUGGAAAUCCUUUUUCAGCCACGCAGUUCAGACACCCUGCUUUUCGGGGGAGGUCACUAGGGGUCUCUUCUGUGAAAGUGUUACUCUGAAGUUAGACACAUUUUGAAGUGAAGUCCCUUUCUGUAAGUCAUUGCUGCUCCUGGGGUGUUUCUGCUAUGUCAGGUAAUGUCAAGGGAUGGAGAAGUGUUUAGUUCUGGGAAGGAGGACAGCUGGCAUAGGCUUGCUUUCUCCAGGGUUUGCCAGUGUGAUAUUUAGCAAAUUUAGAAGAAAAUGCAUGCCAGCUUGUGCUACCUAUUUCAAACUUUGGGGAAAUCAAGUUUGGAGCACCUGUAGAUUAUAAGCGUCUAUGGCGAAGUUAAUGUUCUGAAGCUAUUACAACAAGUGAUGGAAAAAAUGGAUCCCCAGAACAGUAAGAAUAUAAGAACAUCCUCCAAACUCAGUGUGGAGUGACUUACCUUGGCUGUUCCUGACUUAGCAGCAGUUAGGAGAUCCUGACCCAUUUGGGCCAUAGCCUUGUAGAUACAGACUAAAUGGAAAUCAGCCUUUCUCCCACUCCACAUUUCAUUGCUUUCCUUCUGAAUUUAUCUGUAGAGGAGGACGUCAGCAUCCUGGAAAUUACCUGUGGUGCUAAAAAAGUCGAUGAUAAUGAUGAUGAACAAAGCAUGUACAGGAAGCAAUAAAAAUCAACUGAUCUGUUCUGAAAUGCCAAUCCAUUUGCCAUAGCAAAGACACUUAGGGCUUGAUCCCGCAGCCCCCUUUCACAUUCAGGGCACGGCCCAGGCCUUUGCCAAACAUUGUGGCCCUGUCCACACAUCUUCUGGAGUCCAUAUUCUUCAGGGUAGACAUAUGGAGGAAGCGAUCCCGACAAUAUGUGGUAUGUUUUUACCCCAUUGCUAUGUAAUUAAGAGCUGGAGAGAGUGACUGACCACUGUGAUGGCAGAACUUUCUCUUCUAGUGUAGGAACACCCUCAUCGCUGUGGGUUGCAGGACUGCUCUGGCUGGUGAGUGUUGCUGUCUGAUUUCUCCCACACACCUAUUUAGUGCUUAAUAAAGUGCAGGACAAAAAAUCUAUCACUAAAAAAAAAGAUACUGAAUUUUUAGUCAGACAAUUCUGCUGGCAGGAGCUGUGUGGUGCUUGCAUUUGGCAUGGAGGGAGUGAGUGUUAUUAAUUUUAAUGUGAGCAUCAGUGCAGGAAGUGGGAAUGUAAUUGGCCAUUAAUGUUGUUUGCCUGUAUGCAAAAUAAAUUAUCUGUUGCCCAAAGAGCUUUUAACAGGGAAAUAGAUUUCUGCUAAUGAUUUCCUAAAAAACGCUUGUCCGUAUGAAGAGGUAAUACUUCCACGUGUGCUGUGGUCUUUCUUUUGAGGUAAAAAGAGAUGACUGAAGGCAAGCAGUUACCUGCUUGGCCAGAAAUCACUAUAGUUAAUACGGGUGUUGCUCCUAGGACUUGCAAAGCUGAGGCCACAGGACCUUGCUCCUAGACAUUAGGAGAUGAGGUGUUAAAGGCUUGCAGAAGCAGCUGCGCGAAUCCCAGCGGUGCCUUACCAGGCUGAGUCUGGCUCCCUUGGGCACUGACAGUUCCCACUGGACACCCUGCAGAAAGCACUACCCCCAGAUGCAAAACCACUGACACCAGUGGGGCCUCUCACUGACAUCCACAUGCUUGGGAGCGGGUUCUUUCUCAUCUGGCAGGACCAGGAAAGUGUCUGACUGCUGUGCACGCCCGCAGCAGCCAGCUCUGUGUGUCCCUGCUGGAUCUGUCUUGUCCCAGCAGUGCCACCUGGUCAUUGCUGACAGCUCUUCCUGCGAGGGGGCCUUACAGCUGGGGACAUUUUUUAAGCUUUGGAAACUGAAACUAGUUUUUCAAAGGUAUAUUUUCCUUUAAGUCGGUAGAUUUUGGCAAUAGGAUUUUUAUUGUUUUAUUUUUCUUUUCUCCUCCCUCCACACAUUACAAACCAGCGUUUCGGGGAGGUGUCCCUGUGUUUCCCAUUCAUCUGUGAGACAGCUCUUGAGUCUCUCUGUAAAAGUGAAUCAAUGUCUCGUCUGUACAGUAAGUCUGCUUGUAUGCAUAAUGAAAAGUUGAGCUGGGUUGCUGUUCUGUACAAUUAGUGUUUCCACUGUCAUACUGCAAACAGCACAUACUGCACUCCUGUGCCACUGUAAUCUGCAUCACUGUUGUACUCAAGUCAAUGAAUAAAGUUUGGAGCUUUAUUCUUAAU